Molecule: RNA transcript, 2918 nt
Organism: Choloepus didactylus (southern two-toed sloth)
Lineage: Eukaryota; Metazoa; Chordata; Mammalia; Pilosa; Megalonychidae
Exons: 4
Source: RefSeq, a predicted model, not a curated record
CCUGCUGGGGGCCCACUCCCCACCUACUCCCCACCAAGCUGCCCAGGAGGGUGAAGUACACCUGAUGCCUCACACUGAAAGGGAAACUGAGGCUCAGAACGCAGGUCCAGGAGCAAGCAGCUCAGAGCCUGGCCACGUGCCCUCCUGUCCUGGCCCAACACUCGCCAUCAGGCCUCCACCUUCCCUUCUUUGAAGCAGGGCCACCACUGCUGCAGGUUCUGUGUCUUCUCGGGGCUGGAAGUGGGUGUCACUGAGGUGCAGAACCAGAAUCACCCACUUUCUGGAAAAGGAAGUGUAUACCCAGCCGGGUGACAAUCCAUCCUGCCUCGCGACUCUUGGGCAUGGGGCUGAAGUCUAUUUUCGUGCUCUCAGUUCCCUAUCUUUUUCUGCCUUAAAAAAAAAAAAAUCCCCCUCGGCGUUUCUGCAUGCCUAAGUUAAUUCAGAGUCAAGCCGCCCGGGAUCCAGGACGAGAGCCUUCUCUUUCAUAAAUCGCCUCCCUGCAGCAGCUCUGGAUCUACUUCCUCUGUCCUCGGAACACAAACUGACAAUGGAGAAUUUGGUCAAGCUUUGGCUUCCUCCUUCUUGGCUGCCUGGGGACCCCUCUCCCAGCCCAGGACACCAGGACACGGCCAUCUCUGGCCGAGUGAAUGUGUGUGAUAAUCUAAGACAUCUGGGGGACACUGCACAUCUCCCCGUACUUACACGCGCUCAUGGGGUCCCAUUUCUGGCUGGGAGGAGAGGUUCUGUGUUCCGUUGGCUCCUCCAGGGCCGCUUCAGGCCCCGGCUACCUGCCACCAUCAGCCCACCCAGACCUUCCCCAGGCCCCUUUCCCCGACUCCCACAGGCAGAGGUGGUUCAGCCAGCAAUGUGAGGCUCAGGAACAGUUUGGGGGGAAAGCUGCAAUGUUUACACAAGGGCCACUCUGUGCUCAUUUGUGGCUUGGUUUUAAUCUCCUGCUGAGUACGUGGCAGUGCAGUUAGCUACUUCUCACCCAAGAGCACUAUGUACAUGUGUGCACAGGACUGACUACCCACGACUGCAGGAGCUUUUAGACCCCAACCUGCAGCCUCCCAGUCUGUGUGUGGGACAGGCUGGGGAAUUUCUGAGCAGCAGGAAACGGGCUUCCCUUCAGACCUCAGCAGGCAGCCGCUCCAGACGAGGCGGUGCUCUCUGGCCUCCCAGGCACACACGGGCUGCCACUGAGCACCAAGCUCCGGGCACAACCAGCGGGGCAAAGGCCACCACCCAGCGACCUCGGGGCUGCCCUGCCACAGGCUGACCUGCCACGUGGACCCUCCCCUGUGCCUUUAGGGGCACUUCUGCCACACACAACACAGUCACGGCACAGCUGCUCCUGGGUGAUCACGGUAUCCGGGUGGCCACGUGCUCCGGACCCCGUGAGCCUGGAGAGCAUCAUCGUUACCACUGCACAGAUGACGUGGCAAGCAGCAGCCCCAGCAUGGGCCUGGGCCUGGAAGUGCACGCAGGGCGCUGGCCUGGUACGGGGAGAACAGGGCUCACACCCACCAGGGGGCUGGUUCCGGUCAGGGUGGCGGCUGGCAGUGGGGGAGGACGUGAGUCGGUGUCACGUGCACAGCACAUGUCUUGUUUCACUUUUUUGGUGGCCAGUGUCCCAUGAUGUCUGCGGGCACCCAGGCCGUCUGGAGCUGUGUGUGUCAAACUGCAGGUCAUGGAUUCAAAGGGGUGGGCUGGGACCAAGCAGCAUUAACAAAUUACAAAGAACGGAUCGAACCGCGUGAGGAGUGUCUGGUUACAAUAGGGGGCCAGGAGGAGGCAUGUCUGGGGUGGAGCCAGUGGCUGCUGCUCAAGACCCAAAGGCCCAGGAUGGAGGAGACGAGAUGGCAGGGGUCGAGCUUCCUGAGCAGUUGCCAUCAAUGCCCGGCCCACAUCAAAUCUGCCGAAUUUAUAGGGCACCAAUUUACCAGGAGAAGGAGCGGGAAGGAGCUGGCUGGUAACGGCACCGGUGGCAGAAAAGGGUGACCAGAUAGGGAAGGGAGCCUUCCCUGGCCACGGCCCCUCUCAUCUGUAGGCAGAAAGGAUGGGCGGAUCAGGGACAGCAGAUGAGAGGCCUCUGUGGGUGCCAGACUGUGUUGAGAAGGACUCAGGGAUGUGGCACAGGCAGUGAGAGUGCCAGCCUGAGUUCAGGGAGUCUUCAAGGGCUCCCCGGGGGUGCACUCGGUAGCUGUAUUUCUCUGGGCAAACAGAAGCCAGGCUUUGGCGGCUGUGCACCGGGCCCUCACCGCCACUGGGUAGCAGGGCACGGCACACGUGAGCCUGGGCCUCAGACUGGCCACUCUCCAGGUAGGGAGACCCGUGGGACCCCAGUCUCACAACAGGGAAGGAAUGGGGAAGACGCCGGCCGCCAAGGCACUGCACCCCCAAACCCGCAGUCCACCCUCAGGACACACAACGCUGCCCUCUCCUGGCCGGCGCGGGAAGGUCCGGCUCGCCGCCUACCAGCCACCUCCUGCCUGCAGCUGGACAAGCCCUGGCCUGGGUCGUCCGUGGACCCCUGUGUAAGGAGGCCCUGAGAGGGUCCCCAGAGCCUCCACCCCAGGCCCCCUGCCCCAUCGCCUGGUCAGGGAGGACGCAGCAGAGCCACCUCCCCGAUGGAUGCCCCAGAACCCCUGCCCCACUCGGGGAGGAGUCAGCUUCAGGAAGGCGGCGGCACCCUGCUUGGAUUUCGGCUUCACACGUUCUGAUGAAGCACUGGGGCUUUUGUGUUGGGAUAACAGCGUGAUUUAUUAUUUACCGAACGCAGUAGGCGCGCAGCGGAUCAAUUUCAAUAAAACAAUGGAUUAUAAAUGCCGCCAGGCAAUCUGGCAGUGGCAGUAAAUCAACAAAACAUGUUGUACUAAACGCUACAUAAUAAAUUGGCUAUAAUAAACUCAUAAUUA